CCUACGGGUGGCAGCAGUGGGGAAUAUUGCACAAUGGGCGAAAGCCUGAUGCAGCGACGCCGCGUGAGGGACGAAGGCCUUCGGGUUGUAAACCUCUUUCAGCAGGGAAGCGGUACCUGCAGAAGAAGCACCGGCUAACUACGUGCCAGCAGCCGCGGUAAUACGUAGGGUGCAAGCGUUGUCCGGAAUUAUUGGGCGUAAAGAGCUCGUAGGCGGUUUGUCGCGUCUGCUGUGAAAACUCAGGGCUUAACCCUGAGCCUGCAGUGGGUACGGGCAGACUAGAGUGUGGUAGGGGAGAUCGGAAUUCCUGGUGUAGCGGUGGAAUGCGCAGAUAUCAGGAGGAACACCGGUGGCGAAGGCGGAUCUCUGGGCCAUACUGACGCUGAGGAGCGAAAGCAUGGGGAGCGAACAGGAUUAGAUACCCGUGUAGUC
This 432-nucleotide ribosomal RNA is filed under the name uncultured bacterium. Its description in RNAcentral is "partial 16S ribosomal RNA". It matches the Rfam family "Bacterial small subunit ribosomal RNA", at positions 338 to 795 of the family's 1533-position model. The record is from RNAcentral.